UUUUUUUUUUUUUUUUGCUCUGUAAUCUGGAGGUUCUAAUGGGAGAAGUGAGAGCAGAAAAGGGAAGCACAGGAACCUACUGAGGAAUCCACUUGCAAAGAGUAUGUUGCGUCUUAAAAACAUAACACCGUUUUUACAUUUUGAAACCAAUCUCAGGAAGCUCCUUUUAAUUUUUCCUCAUUUUGUUGAUAGGGAUUGAUUUGAUUACAAAAUUUGAGGUUGUGAUGUCUCUUUUUUUAAAAAAAAAAAAAAAAACAGGUUGCUGCAUCUACCUUUAUCCCUGACUGCCUUGAAGUUGAAGGCUCUGUGGCUAUCUGACAACCAGUCCCAGCCCCUGCUUACAUUCCAGACAGACACAGACUACACCACAGGAGAGAAGAUUUUAACCUGUGUCUUACUUCCUCAGCUGCCUUCUGAACCUACUUGUCAAGAGAAUCUGCCUCGCUGUGGUGCACUGGAGAACUUGGUAAAUGAUGUCUCUGAUGAAGCCUGGAACGAGCGUGCUGUCAACAGAGUCAGUGCGAUCCGAUUUGUGGAGGAUGAGAAAGAUGAAGA
This 555-nucleotide long non-coding RNA is filed under the name Homo sapiens (human). Its description in RNAcentral is "long non-coding RNA NONHSAT113204.2". Lineage: Eukaryota; Metazoa; Chordata; Mammalia; Primates; Hominidae. The record is from RNAcentral.